Molecule: ribosomal RNA, 492 nt
Filed under: uncultured bacterium
Lineage: Bacteria
Description: partial 16S ribosomal RNA
Rfam family: Bacterial small subunit ribosomal RNA
Source: RNAcentral
AGUGAACGCUGGCGGUAGGCCUAACACAUGCAAGUCGAACGGCAGCACAGUAAGAGUUUGCUCUUACGGGUGGCGGGUGGCGGACGGGUGAGGCAUACAUCGGAAUCUUCUUUUUCGUGGGGGAUAACGUAGGGAAAGUUACGCUACUACCGCAUAUGAUCUACGGGUGAAAGCAGGGGAUCUUCGCACCUUGCGCGAUUGAAUGAGCCGAUGUCGGAUUAGCUAGUUGGGUGGGUAAAGGCCCACCAAGGCGACGAUCCGUAGCUGGUCUGAGAGGAUGAUCAGCCACACUGGAACUGAGACACGGUCCAGACUCCUACGGGAGGCAGCAGUGGGGAAUAUUGGGCAAUGGGCGCAAGCCUGAUCCAGCCAUACCGCGUGAGUGAAGAAGGCCUUCGGGUUGUAAAGCCCUUUUGUUGGGAAAGAAAAGCAGCAGGUUAAUACCCCGCUGUUCUGACGGUACCCAAAGAAUAAGCACCGGCUAACUUCGUG